RNAcentral lists this ribosomal RNA (397 nucleotides) under uncultured bacterium. Its description in RNAcentral is "bacterial SSU rRNA". It matches the Rfam family "Bacterial small subunit ribosomal RNA", at positions 28 to 415 of the family's 1533-position model. The record is from RNAcentral.
GACGAACGCUGGCGGCGCGCUUAACACAUGCAAGUCGAGCGAGAACCAGGGCUUCGGCCCUGGGGACAGCGGCGAACGGGUGAGUAACACGUGGGUAAUCCACCCUCGGCACCGGAAUAGCCCGGGGAAACCCGGAUUAAUGCCGGAUGGCCCGGUCGGUCUUUUGGGACUGAUGGAAAAGGUAAGCUUUGGCCUCCGGCCGAGGACGAGCCCGCGGCGGAUUAGCUUGUUGGUGAGGUAACGGCUCACCAAGGCGACGAUCCGUAGCUGGUCUGAGAGGACGAUCAGCCACACUGGGGACUGAGACACGGCCCAGACUCCUACGGGAGGCAGCAGUGGGGAAUCUUGCACAAUGGGCGAAAGCCUGAUGCAGCGACGCCGCGUGAGGGAAGAAGGC